AUUGAACGCUGGCGGCAGGCCUAACACAUGCAAGUCGAGCGAGCGGCGGACGGGUGAGUAAUGUCUGGGAAUCUGCCCGAUAGAGGGGGAUAACUACUGGAAACGGUGGCUAAUACCGCAUACCAUCGGAUGAGACCAUAUGGGAUUAGCUAGUAGGUGGGGUAACGGCUCACCUAGGCGACGAUCUCUAGCUGGUCUGAGAGGAUGAUCAGCCACACUGGGACUGAGACACGGCCCAGACUCCUACGGGAGGCAGCAGUGGGGAAUAUUGCACAAUGGGCGCAAGCCUGAUGCAGCCAUGCCGCGUGUAUGAAGAAGGCCUUCGGGUUGUAAAGUACUUUCAGCGAGGAGGCGUUACUCGCAGAAGAAGCACCGGCUAACUCCGUGCCAGCAGCCGCGGUAAUUC
RNAcentral lists this ribosomal RNA (406 nucleotides) under uncultured bacterium. Its description in RNAcentral is "partial 16S ribosomal RNA". It matches the Rfam family "Bacterial small subunit ribosomal RNA", at positions 30 to 526 of the family's 1533-position model. The record is from RNAcentral.